UGAGGCAGGGAGGGGGUGCUGUGGCAGGGAGGGGGUGCUGCUGUAGAGGGGUGCUGUAGCAGGGGUUUGCUUCUGCAGGGAAGUGCUGCUGCAGAGGGCUGUUGCUAUGCUCUAAGCAUGUCAAAGGACCAGCAAAGAUGCCAAUGUGUAUGGAUGAGGCUGAGUAGUAGCAAAUGGGGUCAGAGAGGUACUAGGGCAGGAUGGUGCAGGCCUUUAGGCCAUGCAAAUGUGAAUUCUAUUGUGGAUGAGGCACAAGGCAGAAUGGCAUAGUGUGCACUACAGAGCUAAUCUGUGGAGGUCUUAUUCUCACUCUUACACAUGGGAGCUAUAAGACCUCAGCAAAGUCGCUGCCCUCUGACAGGUGGAUGUAUAAGAGCUGUACGAUGUAGAUCAUGCCACAGCUGGCCUCACAGCAGUAUUGUGAAGACUGGAAAUCGGGCUAGGGUGAAUGGAAGUGUAAAAUUCCACAGAGGAAUGGAAGAAGACUUCAUUUUGCACAGGUCAAUCCACAUCUGAAGCGGUAAGUUCAUCUCUGAGUGCCACACUUUCAGGUUGACAAGCACACUGAAUGACAACUGAACAAGACAUUCAGAACUGGGCAACACCGUCACAUAGGAAGUCAUUGAAAGAGGUGAAGAAUUUAGCCUAGAAAAUUGCAGACGCCCACAAGACGCGACAACUGUCUUUAAACACUUGAGAAACUAUCAUUUAGGAAUCAGAUUUAGAUGAAUCUUUGACGUCCCUUUAGGUGCACUUUCUUUUUACAAAAUGCCAGAAGUACUUUUUAAAGAACAUUUAGCUGCAUUAAAACCUCUGGUUUUAAAAACAACUGAAGUGGAAUAAACCUGCAGCUUCAAAAUGUUCUCCCAACUGAAACCUACCAGUUAUCCCUUUGGUUUGAGGUUGAGUCACUAACUUUCAGGAGGCUGUACCUUCUCGCCACCACUGUCGACCACAUCCUCCUGCAGUAAGCUCCAGAGCUAUUAGGAGAGAUUUGUGACUUACACUUAGGAGUUAGACAUCUGUCAGCCCUUGAGAAGGGACCAAUAAAAAGUUUCAAUUAAAGAUUUGCCUUGACUGACAAGGAGGAGGGUAUAGCACUUUUUCUAUUUUUCCAUUUGUUCUAUGGAUUGAAAGGAACAUGGAUUUAAUACUGCAAAGGUAAUAUUACUACUUCUUCAUAUGAAUUUAUAUUAUAUACUGCAAUGAAGGUUAGACAAAACUUUUAACAGAAGUGAUUUGACGCUUUGCAAUAAUAAGAAGCUAUAAAAAGUAUGAUAAUAAAACGCAGUGGAAAAAAACUCGCAGACACUGAUUUUCAUAUUCUGAUUAUAAUGGUGGCCUUAACUGAGCAGUCGCACUGUUGUAUGCCUAUUCACCCUCCUGUUGAGUUUUUUUUUUUUUUUUGAAAUGGAUUUUUGCUCUUGUCGUCCAGGCUGGAAUGCCAUGGCAUAAUAUCGGCUCACUGCAACCUCUGCCUCCCAGGUUCAAGCGAUUCUUCUGCCUCAGCCUCUCAAGUAGCUGGGAUUACAGGCUCCCAUCACCAUGCCUGGAUAAUAUUUUUUAUUUUUAAUAGAGAUGGAGUUUUACCAUGUUCACCAGGCUGGCCUUGAACUCAUAACCUUAGGUGAUCCGCUCACCUUGAACUCCCAAAGUGCUGGGAUUACAGGUGUGAGCCACCAUCCCUGACCCCGGCUGUUGAAUUGAUCUAUUUAUGACCCACAGAGAGCAUGAGACUAAUGUACUACUUUAGUUAAAAAAAAAAAAAAAUCAAAAUACAAGAGAACAUUAUUCUUUCUUCAAACAAAACCAAUCUCAUCAUUCUUUCUUCCAACAAAUCCAAUCUCUUGCUACACCUGGAGUAGAGCGUAGCCUCACUGCAACCCUAUGAAGGGAGGUACCGUUAUUCGCAUUUUGUUUUUUGUUUGAAAAGAAGUCCAAGAGAGGAACUGGGGCUCAGAGAGGUUAAGUAACUUGCCCAAAGCUCCCCAACUAGAAAGUAACAGGGGUGGGAGUGAAACCCAUAUCUGCCUUGGGUCCAAAGUCCUUGCUCUUAUCUACAAUGUUCUGUGAAAUGGUCACUGAUUAUUCAAUUGUAGCACUUAAUUCAUUCCCUGCAGUCUUUAUCUGGAGAAUCAGAAGUCCAGAAAGUUGAAAAGACUUGCCCAAAGCUACAGUGGAACCGAGGCUUGAACCAAGAUCUCCUGACUCCCAAGCCAGGAUAUUUCUGCUCUGCCAGGGGGCCAUUCCAUCUGAAAAGCUAAAAGCUGAGAGAGGAUAUUUCUACAUUCUAGAAAAUCACCAAGGAUAUGAAGUGAGUAAAUUUAGACUCUUCUAAAAUGCAGCAGUUUAAAAAUAACAGUACUAGGAACGAUUGUGGACAUUUGAGAGAGAUGCAUUUGUGAGGGAGAAAUAUGGUGCACACAUGGUAACCACCCCUAAGAAGCUGUACAGGCUGAGAACAGACAUUUGAUUGAAGUGUUAGGUUUUCCUUUUAUUUAUUUAUUUAACAAACUAUAUGCCAAGCUCUGUGUUAGGCUGUUGUUACAGCCUGAAUUGUGUCCCUCAAACAUUCCUAUGUUGAAACCCUAACGCCCACCUUGUCUGACUAUAACUGUAUCUGAAGACAGGGCCUUUAAAGGGAUGGUUAGGUUAAAAUGUGGCCAUCAGGGUGGGCCUAAUCCAGUUUGCCUGGUGUCCUUAAAAGAAGAGAUAAGGGCACACAAAGGCAUGUCAAGGGUGCACACAGGAAGGACCAUAUGAACACGGUGAGAAGAUAGCCAUCUGAAACUCAAGGAGACAGGCCUCAGAAGAAACUAACCCAGGCUGGGUGUGGUGCCUCACAUCUGUAAUCUCAGUACUUUGGGAGGUCAAGGCAGGUGGCUCACAAUUAGCCAGGCAUGGUGGCACAUGCCUGUAGUCCCAGCUACUCUGGAGGCUGAGGCAGGAGAAUCGCUUGAACCCGGGAGGCAGAGGUUGCAGUGAGCAGAGAUUGUGCCAUUGCACUCCAGCCUGGGAGACAGAGUGAGACUCUGUCUCAAAAAAAAGAAGGUAGUAAUCCUUUUGACAUUUUGAUCUUGGAAUUCUAUGCUCCAGAACUGUGAGAAAUAAAUUUCUGUUGGUUUAUUUUUCUUUUUAUUUUGUGCGUAAGUUUCUGUUGUUUAAGCCGCACCAUCUGCUGUAUUUCAGUAAGACAGCCCUUGCAAACGAACACAGUGCCUUAUACCUGUAAGCUCAUUAAGCCCUGUAAUAGCCUUUGAUAUAGGAACUAUGAUCUCCAUAUUACAAAUGAAGAACCUGAGGCCUAGAGAGGUUAAAAAAAUUCAUCACUGGCAAUCACAAGUGGCAGAGUUGAGAUAAUUGUAAGUGACAGAAACCUAAGGGAUUAUUCAAGGAUGUCUGGGUCCUAUCUCCCACCUCAGCAAGCGGACUUCAGGACAAACAAUCUCACACACCUCUUUGCUUAGUGUUUUUGGAACAGGUAGCUAAAGUCAUACACUAGUGUGACUAUGUGUAGGCUUAGAAAAUGAUUGAGGAAGGCACCCUUGAAUAGCAUAUAACAUAAAGGUCAGAGCACUGGACUAGGCAUCAGAACAUCUGGGGUCAAAUCUGUUUCCUGGGGCUCUUCUAAUCUCCUCAUUUAUUCUUUUCUUUUCUUAUUUUUUUUUGAGAUGGAGUCUCACUCUGUCACCCAGGCUAGACUGCAGCUCACUACAUCCUCCACCUCUCUGGUUCAAGUGAUUCUCCUGCCUUAGCCUCAUGGGUAGCUGGGAUUGCAGGCUCCCGCCACCACACCCAGCUAAUUUUUGUAUUUUUAGUAGAGAUAGGGUUUCACCAUGUUGGCCCGGCUAGUCUUGAACUCCUGACCUCAGGUGAUCCACCUGCCUCAGCCUCCCAAAGUGCUGGGAUUACAGCCAUGAACCACUACUCCUGGCCUCUUCUAAUGUAUUCUUGAGCAACUUAAUCUCUAAAUCUGUCUCGUAACCUGCAUAAAGGGAAUAAGCUGCCUCCUUCGGUGUGGCUUUAAUGACACCAACAUUUCACAGCAUCCAUCGUGCUGCAUCAAAGCUGUCUUUAGCAUCACUGAUACUUAGCAGUUUCCUUGCACAUAAGUGGCCCUCAGACAAUGUUGAAGGAGUGCAUAUGGAAGUUCUUGGCAAACUGUACAAGUGUAAGCCACUUUGAUUAACCCAAGAAAAAGCCACUCUGUUGCAUUCUUUCUUUCAGCCCUGGUCCCUAACGAAUGGAAAGAGACGAGUCAAGAAUCAAAGUUAUAUGAAAGGUCACCACCUUCUAAGGACCCACGUAGCUUCGAGGGAGAUUACAGAGCAAAGGGUCAUGACCGCCUGCUGAGGAAUAGGGUUCAGGCCCUAACCUGACAGUUUCCAUCCUUCAUCUCUCUCCUGUG
RNAcentral lists this long non-coding RNA (4408 nucleotides) under Callithrix jacchus (white-tufted-ear marmoset). RNAcentral describes it as "lncRNA (ENSCJAG00000071276.1)". Lineage: Eukaryota; Metazoa; Chordata; Mammalia; Primates; Cebidae. The record is from RNAcentral.